Peromyscus maniculatus bairdii (prairie deer mouse) is the source of this 2399-nucleotide non-coding RNA. NCBI's taxonomy places the organism in Eukaryota, Metazoa, Chordata, Mammalia, Rodentia, Cricetidae. The record is from RefSeq and is a predicted model, not a curated record.
ACUGUAGGUUCUACUCCCUCAAGUCUCGUCCUCCCGGCUUGCCUGCUCAGGUCACGGAUACUCCGAUCUUGAGAUGAAGCAUUUCUUAAUGUUGCUAGAUACGUAUAAACUAAUAGGAAGGAGCUCCCUCUGAAAACCCAUGCUGAACAGGCGACAUGUUCUAGAUGCCCAUUUUAGUUCUUCAGAAAGCACAGCCGCCUCUUCCGGAUUCAAGACUCCAUCUCCAGCAUCACGGUCUAAGGAGAAUCCACACAAAACAAAAGAAACAUCUCAAAACCAGCUCUGUAUUCAGGAACCUCAGGGCUAAGCAGCCUGAACGAGAGCUGAAGGAGACUCGGCUGGCAAGACUGUGUUGCCACAGCACCUGUUUGGAUACCAGCCAUGUACUCAGGUGCUCAGAGUCCAGAAGAUGACACAAGUUCCCCUGGAGCUGGAGUUACAAGUCGUUGUGAGCCACUUGAAAUGGUUUCUGGGACCUGAACUCCAGCAGCAAGUGCUCUUACCACUGAACCAUCUCUCCAGUCCUAAGAGACUUUUAACUUCUGGGGUCUUUUGGGGGUAGGGUCAGGGUUCAAGACAGGGUUUCUUUGUGUAGGCAUGGCUGGCCUGGAACUCACAGAGAUCUGCCUGCCUCUACCUCCCAAGUGCUAGAUUAAAGGCAUGCGCCACCACUGCCCAGCCUCAAAUAUAUCAUUUUUAAUUUUUGGAUUUCAUCAAAAAAUGGAAGUGUUCUGUUUUUAGUGAAUUGUUGGGCAAUUUGCUACUAAAACGAUCUAAAGUCUAUCACUUAUUGUAAAUAACAUAAUUAGAAAAAUAAUUACUGUAAAAAGAAUAAUUUUAAGCAAGUUUAAAGACAUCAAGAUAGCAAGCUAUUCCAUACCUAUUCGUGUCUUGGGUCACUUUAGAAUCUCCUUCCAUUAAUUUGCUACUGGCAGACUUAUUGAGAAUAUUAAUCUUGGUUUUAAAACACGGUAGUGAAAGCAGAGUGUACUUCAAAACUACACUAAAGAAAGCCAAAGGGAAGCUCACAAGGCCAAAUGGCACACACAACUGUGUUCCACCUGGAUGGUAUUGUUCAGGGGGUGUUGUCAAUGUUACCUGCCACAGAACUCCACACUAAACAGAAGCCAUUCUCUGUGAGACCCACCUCACCAUGUAGUUGGCCUAGACCUUGCCUUGAAUUUACAGCCAUCUCUCCACCUCAGUCUCCCAAGUGCUAGGGUACAGGUGUAUACUACCAUGGCUUUACUGUUUAUUAAUAAUGGGCUUCUGCCCUCUGCUAAUAGUUUCCUCACUCUUCUGUCUGCUCUACCUAGUAAUGUUCUAUCAAAAUCCAACUUAUGACUGCAGUCCACCAUGGCAGCAUCGACACAGCUUCCCCAGAUGACUUCUCCGCACUGUUUGUGUAAAUAAUGUAAUAAGUACAGCUUUCCUACGUUGCUCGUCAUUGUCUUCUUCAUGUUCUUUUGGGAUUCUCUUACAUUUCUGUCUUCCCAGUUGGAAUACGAACUCUCAAGAGAAACCUAACUUAGCAGUUGUUUGUGUCUGCUUUCCUCUCCACGGCCUCGUAACCAUUCUGGCAGACGGAAUUCCUCACUGCGUAUACUUGCUGUGUUUUAGGGGCUUAUCCCUUCCAAGUCAAGUCAUAAAAUAGGGCAACACAUGUGUGGAAUGUCCCUUCAGUGGACAGUUAGACAGAUGCCUACUGUAGUCUUAAUUCCUCUCAUCAGUUCAUCCGACAGUAGGUUCACAGUAGACUUACAUGACCCCCUUUCUGCUGUUUCUUCUUGAGCCCUUCUAGCACCCCUUCCCCCCCCCCCCUUGCCCAAUCUAAGACACAAGAUCUAGCAAGGCACAAGGCUCCUGCAGUUCACCUUCUUUCAGCACUUUCCCUUGUUUGGGUAAUAACAGGCCAUAACAAUAACUAUUUGGAGAGAGAUUUCAGGUUCAACAACUCCUAUGAACAGGGCAUUGGGAUCAUUUUCCACUGAAAUAAAAUAGCUUUUAAAAGAUGAAGUCCGGGACAACUUGAAAGCCAUGAAUGAGUCAUUUCUUACAUGUUAAAAAAAAAUGAAAGCAGGCUGGGCAGUGGUGGUGCACGCCUUUAAUCCUAGCAACUGGGAGGCAGAGGCAGGUGGAUCUCUGUGAGUUCAAGGCCAGCCUGGUCUACAGAGCUAGUUCCAGGACAUCCAGGGCUAUACAGAGAAAUCCUGUCUCAAAAAACCAAAACCAAGCCAAACAAAAAACAAAAAUAGCUGAGUUAUAUGCCCUCUCCAAUGAAAACUGUACCUAAAAGGUAUUUUAUUAGAAUUUUUCAUUUGAAUGGUGGAGAAUCCUCAGUCAAGUUUCCAAGGAAAGAAUUAACUUCUAAUGUCACAGGCAUGUUUUCUGUAGUGAAC